RNAcentral lists this small nucleolar RNA (83 nucleotides) under Coniosporium apollinis CBS 100218. The record is from RNAcentral. Lineage: Eukaryota; Fungi; Ascomycota; Dothideomycetes.
CUUUCAUGAUGAGCGUAUUUUUUUCAGUUCUGCUACUGAACAAUAGUGAAGAAACUUCAUACCAUCUUACCAAUCUCUGAUAC